Molecule: small nuclear RNA, 176 nt
Filed under: Monodelphis domestica (gray short-tailed opossum)
Lineage: Eukaryota; Metazoa; Chordata; Mammalia; Didelphimorphia; Didelphidae
Description: U2 spliceosomal RNA
Rfam family: U2 spliceosomal RNA
About the family: U2 is a small nuclear RNA (snRNA) component of the spliceosome (involved in pre-mRNA splicing).
Source: Rfam by way of RNAcentral
AUCAUUUCUUUGCCUUUUGGCUAAGAUCAAGUGUGGUACCAAUUCCCUCAACUGAUCUUCAAAUGGAAUAAUAUUGAAUUAGUUUCAGGAUGCUCCAGUUUGUCAAUGUUCUUCCUAAAACAUGGCAACCCAGACUGGUGAUGACCUUUCGCUGCAGUGAAUGGGCUGGACCUCAG